CUUUACUGCAACUUGACAUUGAUUUUUGGCUGUACUUGUGUAGGAUAGGUGGGAGGCUUUGAAGUAGUGCCGCCAGGUAUUAUGGAGCCAUCGUUGAAAUACCACCCUGGUGCUGACGGAAAUCUAACCGGAGCCAUAUAUCUGGCUUUGAGACAGUGUCUGGUGGGCAGUUUGACUGGGGCGGUCGCCUCCUAAAGUGUAACGGAGGCAUCCAAAGGUCUUCUCAGCGUGGUCGGCAAUCACGCGUCGAGUGUAAAGGCAUAAGAAGGCUUGACUGCGAGACCGACAGGUCGAGCAGGUACGAAAGUAGGGCUUAGUGAUCCCGCGGUUUAGCGUGGAAUUGCCGUUGCUCAAUGGAUAAAAGGUA
RNAcentral lists this ribosomal RNA (367 nucleotides) under uncultured organism. Its description in RNAcentral is "bacterial LSU rRNA". It matches the Rfam family "Bacterial large subunit ribosomal RNA", at positions 2099 to 2465 of the family's 2925-position model. The record is from RNAcentral.